UACGUAGGUGGCGAGCGUUGUCCGGAUUUACUGGGCGUAAAGGGAGCGUAGGCGGACUUUUAAGUGAGAUGUGAAAUACUCGGGCUCAACUUGAGUGCUGCAUUUCAAACUGGAAGUCUAGAGUACAGGAGAGGAGAAUGGAAUUCCUAGUGUAGCGGUGAAAUGCGUAGAGAUUAGGAAGAACACCAGUGGCGAAGGCGAUUCUCUGGACUGUAACUGACGCUGAGGCUCGAAAGCGUGGGGAGCAAACAGG
This 253-nucleotide ribosomal RNA is filed under the name uncultured bacterium. RNAcentral describes it as "partial 16S ribosomal RNA". It matches the Rfam family "Bacterial small subunit ribosomal RNA", at positions 524 to 776 of the family's 1533-position model. The record is from RNAcentral.